RNAcentral lists this ribosomal RNA (429 nucleotides) under Gemmatimonadota bacterium. Its description in RNAcentral is "Gemmatimonadetes bacterium partial 16S ribosomal RNA". It matches the Rfam family "Bacterial small subunit ribosomal RNA", at positions 355 to 776 of the family's 1533-position model. The record is from RNAcentral. Lineage: Bacteria; Pseudomonadati; Gemmatimonadota.
UAGGGAAUCUUCGGCAAUGGACGAAAGUCUGACCGAGCAACGCCGCGUGAGUGAAGAAGGUUUUCGGAUCGUAAAACUCUGUUGUUAGAGAAGAACAAGGACGUUAGUAACUGAACGUCCCCUGACGGUAUCUAACCAGAAAGCCACGGCUAACUACUUGCCAGCAGCCGCGGUAAUACGUAGGUGGCAAGCGUUGUCCGGAUUUAUUGGGCGUAAAGCGAGCGCAGGCGGUUUCUUAAGUCUGAUGUGAAAGCCCCCGGCUCAACCGGGGAGGGUCAUUGGAAACUGGGAGACUUGAGUGCAGAAGAGGAGAGUGGAAUUCCAUGUGUAGCGGUGAAAUGCGUAGAUAUAUGGAGGAACACCAGUGGAGAAGGCGGCUAUCUGGUCUGUAACUGACGCUGAGGCUAGAAAGCGUGGGGAGCAAACAGG